This 486-nucleotide ribosomal RNA is filed under the name uncultured bacterium. RNAcentral describes it as "partial 16S ribosomal RNA". It matches the Rfam family "Bacterial small subunit ribosomal RNA", at positions 28 to 507 of the family's 1533-position model. The record is from RNAcentral.
GAUGAACGCUGGCGGCGUGCCUAAUACAUGCAAGUCGAACGCUGGAGAUCUAGCUUGCUAGAUCGAAGGAGUGGCGAACGGGUGAGUAAUACAUAAGCAACCUACCCACGAAGACUGGGAUAAUCUCUGGAAACGGGGACUAAUACCGGAUAGGUAAUCGGAAGGCAUCUUCUGGUUAUUAAAGGUUAAAAACACUGGUGGAUGGGCUUAUGGCGCAUUAGUUAGUUGGUGAGGUAACGGCCCACCAAGACGAGGAUGCGUAGCCGGCCUGAGAGGGUGAACGGCCACAUUGGGACUGAGACACGGCCCAGACUCCUACGGGAGGCAGCAGUAGGGAAUUUUCGGCAAUGGGGGCAACCCUGACCGAGCAACGCCGCGUGAGUGAAGGCGGCCUUCGGGUUGUAAAGCUCUGUUGUAAGGGAAGAACGGUAGAUAGAGAAUAUCUAAGUGACGGUACCUUACCAGAAAGCCACGGCUAACUACGUG